RNAcentral lists this ribosomal RNA (443 nucleotides) under uncultured bacterium. RNAcentral describes it as "partial 16S ribosomal RNA". It matches the Rfam family "Bacterial small subunit ribosomal RNA", at positions 339 to 795 of the family's 1533-position model. The record is from RNAcentral.
CUACGGGAUGCAGCAGUCGAGAAUCUUCCGCAAUGGACGAAAGUCUGACGGAGCGACGCCGCGUGAUUGAUGACGCACUUCGGUGUGUAAAGAUCUUUUAUGAGGGAAGAAGUUUAUUGACGGUACCUCAUGAAUAAGGGGCUCCUAAUCUCGUGCCAGCAGGAGCGGUAAUACGAGAGCCCCGAGCGUUAUCCGGAAUUAUUGGGCGUAAAGGGUGCGUAGGUGGUUUUGUUAGUCGUUUGUCAAAUCUCUGGGCUUAACCCAGAAACUGCGGGCGAAACGGCAAAACUAGAGAAUGUGAGAGGUAUAGGGAACUCAUGGCGUAGGGGUGAAAUCCGUUGAUAUCAUGGGGAACACCAAAAGCGAAGGCACUAUACUGGCACAUAUCUGACACUCAAGCACGAAAGCGUGGGUAGCGAAUGGGAUUAGAUACCCGCGUAGUC